Molecule: small nuclear RNA, 85 nt
Organism: Eremothecium sinecaudum
Lineage: Eukaryota; Fungi; Ascomycota; Saccharomycetes; Saccharomycetales; Saccharomycetaceae
Source: RefSeq, a predicted model, not a curated record
AAUCAGAUAAUUUGAUGAAUGUUGGAUAGGAACUGUUGUCAAUCAUUAUAUUCUGAGUGAGCUGAGUAAUGUUAUCAUCAUUUAA